UGCUCCUAGGGGCGCAGCAGUAGGGAAUCUUCCACAAUGGGCGAAAGCCUGAUGGAGCAACGCCGCGUGGGUGAAGAAGGUCUUCGGAUCGUAAAACCCUGUUGUUAGAGAAGAAAGUGCGUGAGAGUAACUGUUCACGUUUCGACGGUAUCUAACCAGAAAGCCACGGCUAACUACGUGCCAGCAGCCGCGGUAAUACGUAGGUGGCAAGCGCUAUCCGGAUUUAUUGGGCGUAAAGGGAACGCAGGCGGUCUUUUAAGUCUGAUGUGAAAGCCUUCGGCUUAACCGGAGUAGUGCAUUGGCAA
This 305-nucleotide ribosomal RNA is filed under the name uncultured bacterium. RNAcentral describes it as "bacterial SSU rRNA". It matches the Rfam family "Bacterial small subunit ribosomal RNA", at positions 335 to 632 of the family's 1533-position model. The record is from RNAcentral.